UGACAGGGACCACCGGAGAAUGUUGG
RNAcentral lists this non-coding RNA (26 nucleotides) under Mus musculus (house mouse). Lineage: Eukaryota; Metazoa; Chordata; Mammalia; Rodentia; Muridae. The record is from RNAcentral.